GUCAGCAGCCGCGGGAACACCGGCGGCCCGAGUGGUGAUCGUGAUUAUUGGGUCUAAAGGGUCCGUAGCCGGUUUGGUCAGUCCUCCGGGAAAUCUGAUAGCUCAACUAUUAGGCUUUCGGGGGAUACUGCCAGACUUGGAACCGGGAGAGGUAAGAGGUACUACAGGGGUAGGAGUGAAAUCUUGUAAUCCCUGUGGGACCACCUGUGGCGAAGGCGUCUUACCAGAACGGGUUCGACGGUGAGGGACGAAAGCUGGGGGGCACGAACCGGAUUAGAUACCCGGGUAGUCCCAGCCGUAAACGAUGCUCGCUAGGUGUCAGGCAUGGCGCGACCGUGUCUGGUGCCGCAGGGAAGCCGUGAAGCGAGCCACCUGGGAAGUACGGCCGCAAGGCUGAAACUUAAAGGAAUUGGCGGGGGAGCACAACAACGGGUGGAGCCCUGCGGUUUAAUUGGACUCAACGCCGGACAACUCACCGGGGGCGACAGCAAUAUGUAGGCCAAGCUGAAGACUUUGCCUGAAUCGCUGAGGAGUGGUGCAUGG
Molecule: ribosomal RNA, 543 nt
Filed under: uncultured archaeon
Lineage: Archaea
Description: bacterial SSU rRNA
Rfam family: Archaeal small subunit ribosomal RNA
Source: RNAcentral